UUAAAUUGCUGUGGUAUUUUGACUAUACACCGGUUUUGUAUAGAUUUUAUUGAAUGCUAAGAGAAUGGACUCUCAGAGAAAAACUUUUUUUAAAUUAAAAAUUGAAAUUUUUUUAAUUUGUGCAGAAACAAUUAUUAAUAUUAAGGACAAGAAGACCCUAUGAAUUUAUUAAAUUUCAUUCAAUAUGUAAUUACUAUUGAAGAAAUUUUGGCUGGGGCGGCUAAAAAAUAUUUUAAACUUUUUAAAAAUAAAAUGAUCCAUUAUUAAUGAUUAUAUGUUAAAUACUCUAGGGAUAACAGCGUUAUAUUUUUUGAUAGACCAUAUUGACAAAAAAGUUUGCGACCUCGAUGUUGGAUUAGGAUACUUUUUUAAUGCAGAUAUUAAAAAAAGAAGUUUGUUCAACUUUCAAUUUCCUACAUGAUCUGAGUUCAGACCGG
This 437-nucleotide ribosomal RNA is filed under the name Rhipicephalus turanicus. RNAcentral's name for it is "partial 16S ribosomal RNA". The stretch from base 145 to 437 matches the Rfam family "Bacterial large subunit ribosomal RNA", at positions 2078 to 2619 of the family's 2925-position model. Lineage: Eukaryota; Metazoa; Arthropoda; Arachnida; Ixodida; Ixodidae. The record is from RNAcentral.